AAGAAAAAUGCUGUGAAAGUUGUCAGUUUUAUAAUGGGACCCUAUGGGAAUCGGAAUUAGUGUAAUAUAACCUUUAAAAAGCACAUUUACUGCAAUGUCAAGGUCACAUGGAUUCGUCUGCAAGCGUAACAAGUAGAAAAUGAAUUGUAAUGAAUGUUUUGAUGAUUUGGGCUCUAAAAUAGAUGAGAGAUGUCAAUAUUUUGGUCCAAAUGGAUGUUUUAGGUGGUUUUGGACUGUUCCGGAUGGUUGGGGAACUGGUAUGGACAAGCCUGACCGUUUGUCCUUGAGCCGUAGAUGGUCAACAAUCCGCUAGCUGUCUUGCUCUGACUGGUGCACUGGACAUGAUUUCAAUAGUCAGCCAGACCAUGAUUGAGCUUAAGGAUUGUGCUGCGGAUGCAGCCUGUGCAGUUCCGGGAGAAAGUCACUGUCUUGGGCAAUGCGGUCUGGUAUCAGGUCUGGAUGAUCCUUGCCUGACUGCGGGUUUGUGUACACCUCAAUCCGACUCUGUGUCCUGAACAGAGGCCGCAGUGGUGCAGCGCUUGUGGACGAUCCAUCAACAUCCUGAAAGGUCAACACUUCACCAAGCUGGGAAAAUUGAUCCUGAUAGUCAUCCCCAGGCCUGACCGUUUGUCCUUGAGCCGUAGAUGGUCAACAAUCCGCUAGCUGUCUUGCUCUGACUGGUGCACUGGACAUGAUUUCAAUAGUCAGCCAGACCAUGAUUGAGCUUAAGGAUUGUGCUGCGGAUGCAGCCUGUGCAGUUCCGGGAGAAAGUCACUGUCUUGGGCAAUGCGGUCUGGUAUCAGGUCUGGAUGAUCCUUGCCUGACUGCGGGUUUGUGUACACCUCAAUCCGACUCUGUGUCCUGAACAGAGGCCGCAGUGGUGCAGCGCUUGUGGACGAUCCAUCAACAUCCUGAAAGGUCAACACUUCACCAAGCUGGGAAAAUUGAUCCUGAUAGUCAUCCCCAGGUAGUGGAAUGAAUGUACACUGAACUACAGUGGAAUCACACCCAAAUGACUUUCCUGCCACGACAUUAGUGUGGCCACUCGCGUAGGAAUUCCUUAGCAAACAUUCUCUUUUGCAUGGUUACUGUGGGCAUUUUUGCAACACUUAAGCUUUCAACACUGGAUUUUAAAGAGAAUACUUAAUAAAAUGUCGCUAACAGGACUUAGUUAUAUGAGAGAGACUAUCUGGAUGCGCAUUAAGUGUCACUUUGUGUCGUAAGCUGUUGAAGGAGCGAUUUGCGCCUUUUUAAGUGUUAAUUUUGGGUAGCCGGCUUGUAUCGGCUUGAAAGCUGCAAAUUUUGCCUCUCAUCAUAAUGGCAUUAAUUUUUGUAAUUGCAAUGUGUAUGCUUAGAUUGUAAGUGAAGCUUUUAAUAAUAAUUUUCUUAAAAAACAUGAUUUUAUAUGCUGUCAGUGAGUUUUUUAUUGAAAAAAGUGCUUAAAAUUAAAAAAAAGUCUCCUGUUUCAUCAAGAAAAGUACACUGAUUCACAAUCAAUACAUUUAUUUGGGCCUUUUCCUGUUAUAUUGGGGAAUUUCGCAUGCAAUGAUACCAGUUUUUGCCAUAAAAGUUACGCGUAACAAUAAUUGGAACCACGAAAUCAGCUGUCGUCACUUAGACUAAAAAUCAUGCAUUCCGACUUGACUGCGGCCAAUUUAGUCACCGCUUAAAAUGGCCAUUUUAAGGCCUUUACCCCCAUCCGAAUGCACUGAAAUUGCAUAUUCAUUGUGGAAAUAGUUGAAAUCUCAUGUGGAGAAAGUUUGAAAAAGAUAGGACAAAGUUGAGUUCCCUUAAAGGUUACAUUACACUAAAUCAUUGUGUAUCCCUCCGUGGUCCAUUCGAAAGUAGUGCCUAUUUCUAAAUAGUUCCUUUUCUCUUCUUGAAUAUAAGCCAUUUAACAAUGUGAGACAUGUCUUUUGUGGUUAUUUGUAAUAUCCUGUAUGUGUCUGGAGUACUUUGAUGCCUUGGAUUGGAAGCUAACUUAAAAGAUGAACUUUUGAGGGUGUGUUUUCUAUUGUGUGGGGCUUUUGUCGAAAUUAGGAUUCCGAAACACGUUUUUCUACGGUGGGUUCAUUCGACAGCGAUUUACUUUCUUAGAAGUUGCGAGACGGUAUGUUUUUGAUUGCAAUUAUUGGAAGAUGACAGAUCCAUCUUUAAAAUGA
Long non-coding RNA from Dreissena polymorpha, 2162 nucleotides. RefSeq lists it as uncharacterized. Lineage: Eukaryota; Metazoa; Mollusca; Bivalvia; Myida; Dreissenidae. The transcript is spliced from 7 exons. The record is from RefSeq and is a predicted model, not a curated record.